UACAGAGGGGGCAAGCGUUGUUCGGAAUUACUGGGCGUAAAGGGCGCGUAGGCGGCCUGUUAAGUCGAACGUGAAAUCCCCGGGCUCAACCCGGGAACUGCGUCCGAUACUGGCAGGCUUGAAUUCGGGAGAGGGAUGCGGAAUUCCAGGUGUAGCGGUGGAAUGCGCAGAUAUCAGGAGGAACACCAAUAGCGAAGGCAGCUCGCUGGGACGUUACUGACACUGAGGCGCGAAAGCGUGGGGAGCGAACAGG
Molecule: ribosomal RNA, 253 nt
Filed under: uncultured bacterium
Lineage: Bacteria
Description: partial 16S ribosomal RNA
Rfam family: Bacterial small subunit ribosomal RNA
Source: RNAcentral